Molecule: unclassified non-coding RNA, 471 nt
Filed under: Hevea brasiliensis (rubber tree)
Lineage: Eukaryota; Viridiplantae; Streptophyta; Magnoliopsida; Malpighiales; Euphorbiaceae
Source: RNAcentral
GUUAUUUGGCAUGGUCUUCAAAGGUUUAUUUUGCUACUGUUCGGCAUAUCUAAUCCUUGUUAUGAGUUUUAAGAAUUCUCUAUACUUCUUUCAUGUUAUUUGGGAGAUUAUACUGGUCUUGUACUUUAGUUUUUCUUUCUGCAUUUAAUCAUCUUUAUUUUUCAAGCUGAUGGCUGAGUAUCUACUACAGAUUUUGGCAUGUUGGUGAUCAUCCAUGAGGACAACAGGAAGUUUACUAGUUCUAUGUCUAUAAAGAUGCCAUGACUGUGGGUUCACACAUUUUUGUUUAUGUUACUAAUUUUGUGUUUGUCUCACCACCUGCAGUUGCUCCACCUUAACUACAGCUCAGUUGUUAUUUUUUUCUAUCUUCUGAGUCCAAGCCACCUUAGAACUUUUCUGAUGUCUUCUUGGCAAACAUUUCUUAUAAUUUUGGAGGUUUCCCUUAGCAAUUAACAUCUCAAAUUCUUCUGU